This 29-nucleotide non-coding RNA is filed under the name Rattus norvegicus (Norway rat). The record is from RNAcentral. Lineage: Eukaryota; Metazoa; Chordata; Mammalia; Rodentia; Muridae.
UGGGAGCUUGUCCUUCAGCAAUGUAUUGU